UUUACUUAUUUAUUUAUUUAUUGAGACAGAGUCUCACUCUGUCGCCCAGGCUGGAGUGCAGUGGCGCAGUGUUGGCUCACUGCAACCUCUGCCUCCCGGGUUCAAGCGAUUCUCCUGCCUCAGUCUCCCGAGUAGCUGGGAUUACAGGCGCCUGCUACCACACGCAGCUGAUUUUUGUAUUUUAAGUAGAGCUGGGGUUUCAUCAUGUUGGUCAGGCUGGUCUCAAACUCCUGACCUCGUGAUCCGCCCGCCUCAGCCUCCUAAAGUGCUGGGAUUACAGGCGUGAGCCACCUUGUCCGGCCCUGAAGCUUAUAGUUUUUAAUAUUCUAUAAUUCCUGAAGUUUUCAUAGUCUGCCUCUUUGCUUCUUAUUUUUCAGAAAACAAGUUGGUAACUGAGGGGAAAAGCACCACGAUCUCCUGGUGCGUUGUUGCAAAAGUGCUUCAGCAGUCAGUGUCUUUCUUGUUGUUUGCCAGAUAAAGAUAUUUUGUCUGCAUAUCUGCAUAGCUUAACAGUAACUCAGGUGCUGACGUAGAAGGAAAGCAUGUGAGAAUGCUUUUGGAUCAUACACUUUUCACAUAAUAAGAAAUUUUUCUCGAAUUGGUUUAACAGUAUCGUUUUAUGCUUUUUAAAAUGUAUCUUUGAUAUGAGUUGUUUGUCAUUUGCACAAGUUAAUGAUUUUACCUCCCCAGCUGCAACAUAUUUUUCAAAUUUAGGAACCCAACUUAACCAUCUGAACAUCCUUCUUAAAAAAAAUAAAGAAGAAAGCUCACAACUA
RNAcentral lists this long non-coding RNA (776 nucleotides) under Pan troglodytes (chimpanzee). RNAcentral describes it as "lincRNA". Lineage: Eukaryota; Metazoa; Chordata; Mammalia; Primates; Hominidae. The record is from RNAcentral.